GUUUAAGUAGCAAAGAAGUUUAAUGCAUUAGGCUUAGGUCCUACCAUCAAAGGUGCAACUCCUUUCUUAAACU
Molecule: transfer RNA, 73 nt
Filed under: Holothuria edulis
Lineage: Eukaryota; Metazoa; Echinodermata; Holothuroidea; Aspidochirotida; Holothuriidae
Description: tRNA-Leu
Rfam family: tRNA
About the family: Transfer RNA (tRNA) molecules are approximately 80 nucleotides in length. Their secondary structure includes four short double-helical elements and three loops (D, anti-codon, and T loops).
Source: RNAcentral